GGGGCCGUGGCUGGGGGUGGGCGCGGGGUCGUGGCUGGUGGUCGCGGCAGGGGCGAUGCCGGCGCUGGGCGCCGGUUCGAUUCCGGCUGGGCCGGC
This 96-nucleotide transfer RNA is filed under the name Streptomyces sp. TS71-3. RNAcentral describes it as "tRNA-Thr". Lineage: Bacteria; Bacillati; Actinomycetota; Actinomycetes; Kitasatosporales; Streptomycetaceae. The record is from RNAcentral.